RNAcentral lists this transfer RNA (43 nucleotides) under Caridina leucosticta. RNAcentral's name for it is "partial tRNA-Trp". Lineage: Eukaryota; Metazoa; Arthropoda; Malacostraca; Decapoda; Atyidae. The record is from RNAcentral.
AAGGUUUUAAGUUAAAUAAACUAGCAGCCUUCAAAGUUUCUUA